CAUGGAAGACAUUCCUAGUCAAACCACCAGAGAUGGGGAUAAGAUGUGAGCAAGUACAUGGAGCAGAGAUAUGGUGGACUUUUGUGUAAUGUUAGCUUUACAUGCUUGAGAUAAGACAUUUGAUGCAAUCAUCUAAGAAAGCUGGAUGACAAUUAGAAGAAAACCAACUGGAUAAAAUACAGAUUUAUUAAAUAUCUACUAUUGG
RNAcentral lists this long non-coding RNA (205 nucleotides) under Rattus norvegicus (Norway rat). RNAcentral describes it as "long non-coding RNA NONRATT032189". The record is from RNAcentral. Lineage: Eukaryota; Metazoa; Chordata; Mammalia; Rodentia; Muridae.